GAUGAAGAACGUAGCGAAAUGCGAUACGUAAUGUGAAUUGCAAAUUCAGUGAAUCAUCGAGUCUUUGAACGCACAUUGCGCCCCCUGGUAUCCCGGGGGGCAUGCCUGUCCGAGCGUCAUUGCUGCCCUCAAGCACGGCUUGUGUGUUGGGCCCCGUCCUCCGAUCCCGGGGGACGGGCCCGAAAGGCAGCGGCGGCACCGCGUCCGGUCCUCGAGCGUAUGGGGCUUUGUCACCCGCUCUGUAGGCCCGGCCGGCGCUUGCCGAUCAACCCAAAUUUUUAUCCAGGUUGACCUCGGAUCAGGUAGGGAUACCCGCUGAACUUAAGCAUAUCAAUAAGCGGAGGA
Molecule: unclassified non-coding RNA, 345 nt
Filed under: soil metagenome
Description: partial contains 5.8S ribosomal RNA, internal transcribed spacer 2, and large subunit ribosomal RNA
Rfam family: 5.8S ribosomal RNA (bases 1-119)
Source: RNAcentral